GAUGAACGCUGCCGGCAUGCCUAACACAUGCAAGUCGAUCGGUAAGGCUCUUCGGAGUACCCGAGAGGCGGACGGCUGAGUAACGCGUAGGAACACACCCUGCAGUGAGGGAUAAGACACCGAAAGGUGUUCUAAUACCGCAUACGGUCUUCGGAUUAAAGCAUUUAUGCGCUGAAGGAGUGGCCUGCGUCAUAUUAGAUAGUUGGUGAGGUAAUGGCUCACCAAGUCGAUGAUGUGUAGCUGGUCUGAGAGGAUGAUCAGCCAGACUGGAACUGAGACACGGUCCAGACUCCUACGGGAGGCAGCAGUGAGGAAUAUUUCACAAUGAGCGAAAGCUUGAUGGAGCAAUGCCGCGUGCAGGAUGAAGGCCCUCGGGUUGUAAACUGCUUUUAUAAGAGAAGAUUAUGACGGUAACUUAUGAAUAAGGGACGGCUAACUACGUG
RNAcentral lists this ribosomal RNA (443 nucleotides) under uncultured bacterium. RNAcentral's name for it is "partial 16S ribosomal RNA". It matches the Rfam family "Bacterial small subunit ribosomal RNA", at positions 28 to 507 of the family's 1533-position model. The record is from RNAcentral.